Molecule: long non-coding RNA, 492 nt
Organism: Phyllostomus discolor (pale spear-nosed bat)
Lineage: Eukaryota; Metazoa; Chordata; Mammalia; Chiroptera; Phyllostomidae
Exons: 2
Source: RefSeq, a predicted model, not a curated record
GACUCUGGAAGUAGAUGGCCCACUUCCCACCUUUGGACAACCUCGGUCUAAAGUAAUACCUGGAAGAUAUGCAACUUUCUUGUUCUCAGAGCCUGAGGAUGAGGCCAAUAUAAAAGGCAGAAGAAAAGGAUGAAAUAAAUCUGGUUCUUAAGACACCCAAGAGCCGUUAAAUCAACCAACUUGAAACCUGUCUUAUUUCUGGACUAGUGUUUUUUAGGUGUGUGUUAAAUCAUAAAUUUCUUAAUUGUUAGAGUUUUCUCUUACUUGCAGCUCAGUGAGUCUUUACUAAUUCUUGUCUUAAUGCCAAGGAUCUUGAAUAUAUUAAAAGCAGUUGUUCAAGCUCAUCUGAAAACAUAUGUUGCAUCUUGGAGGAUUUACUGUGAGACAAAGUGCUAUCAUCAUAUGCAGCAUGAAGGUUAGGGGUCACUUAUUUACAUUUUGGAGAAAUCUGAGUAACCUCUGUUGAAGGACUUUGGCUUUUAGAGAAGAAUA